UGAGGACCUUCUCUGUCAAUGCAUGGGUCAGGUAGUGAGCCAGCAUACAGAGGAGAUGCAAUCUGGUGUCUACCUUGGAUCUUACCGUGUAAUUGGGAAGACAGACAGAAUAAGUGUUCACAAGGAUAGUUCACUACAUGGCGCCUGCCACCUUCCUGUCUGUCGCAGCUCCUGCUCUGAAAGGGAGGACCCAUGCAGUUUUGUUGCAUCAAGUUCAACUCUGCGUCUCCGCAAAGGCUUUCAUUAGAACCAGUGAGAGAUACGCAUAUAGCUGCAUUCACACAGAAUGUGGUUAAGGUCAACUGUCUUAGGAACGUAUCUCUUUCAACACGAUUAUAUUGGAUAUUAGUAAAUAAGGCCUCUGGCUAUAAUUCAAAGAACAUCUGAAAUGCAAAGAUGGAACCAGAAGGCCUUGUUGUUUAAAACUUGAAAUAUUCAGAAUGACUAAGGGGCAACUGAAGUGCUUUUCUAACCAUAAGCAGAUGACAUCAUAAUUCCUAUUAAGUAGGUGUCUGAAAUUUUCACCAUUCCUCCCUAAACAUACAAGGAGGGAAGCCCAGAAGCAAUUGCACAAAAGAAACAUAAAGGACUGUUUUAGUCAGCUUCUUUGCUGCUGUCACUAAAAGGAGCCAACCAGAACAACUGUAGAGGAGGAAAAGUUUAUUUGAGGGCUCAUGGCCUCAGAGGUCUCAAUCCACAGACAGCUGGCUCCAUUCCUCAGGUCUGCAGGUGAGGCAGAACAACAGGACAGAGGAACGUGGCAGAGGGAAGCAGCUCCCAUGAUGAUCAGGAAGCAGAGAGAGCGACUCCAGAUACAAAAUCCAUACCUGAAAGCCACGCCCCCAAUGCCCACCUCCUCCAGCUGAGCCCCACCUCCUCCAGCUGAGCCCCACCUCCUCCAGUUACCACUCAGUUAAUCCCAUUAGGGAUUAAUCCAUGGACUAGUUCAAGGCUCUCACCACUUAACCAUUCCCCCUCUGAACCCUCCCACAUAGUCUCACACAUGAGCUUUUGGAGACACCUCACAUACAAACCAUCACAAGGAGAUAACUUCAAGGAGACAGAAGAGUUGGACUAUAAGCCAUUCCCCCUGGAGCACCUUGAACAGAGCAGAUACUAAUCUUCCAUCUGAGGGAAGACUUUUGACACUUGCCAGUAACUGUAAUAAUCGUCACUGGUGGUGACUGUGCUUUUGCUACCAGUUUUUGUCAAGUGGUGGUCAAGCAGGGUUAAGGCUCAGAGAAAAGAAAAACCAGUGUCCUGGGCAGAACGUCUGUGUCCAGUUUGGGUCCAGCUUUCACCGGCACAAUUAUCUGUUGGCCCAGCUGCAAGUCUGUGUAUCUGCUUGAUGUCAAAGUGCCUGGUGGAAAGACAGGCCGGUAAGAGAGGCGAGGGCUGCAGUGGGAAUAUCUUGCCUGUUGACAGCUGCCUCUGGCAAAAAUAGAAAAAGGAGGUGUAACUUGAUU
Molecule: long non-coding RNA, 1466 nt
Filed under: Ictidomys tridecemlineatus (thirteen-lined ground squirrel)
Lineage: Eukaryota; Metazoa; Chordata; Mammalia; Rodentia; Sciuridae
Description: lncRNA (ENSSTOG00000033905.1)
Source: RNAcentral